Molecule: long non-coding RNA, 1334 nt
Organism: Rhinichthys klamathensis goyatoka
Lineage: Eukaryota; Metazoa; Chordata; Actinopteri; Cypriniformes; Leuciscidae
Exons: 2
Source: RefSeq, a predicted model, not a curated record
GCUUUUCACGUUAUAAAGACGCUUAACAAAAUGCUUUCAAGCCAAAUGUAAUCUUUAUUUUUCUGUUUCUGUACAAAAAGCACGGGAUCACAGGGAAAAAAAAUCUGAAAAAAAACAUGCAUUUAUUUACAGCAUGGUCAGAGAGAAAAAAGGAAAGUAGAAUACAUCUCCCUAUCUGAAUUCUAAAGACAUUAAGUAAACAUUGUGCUUUGAUAUAUUUUGAUAUAAUAUUUCAUAUUUCACAAAGAUGCAGUACCUUUCUUCAUUUCACUUUGAGUUCAACAUUUCCAAAGAAAACAGGGUUUGUGAAAGAAAGCAGAAGCCAGCUCUCUACAUCUAUGACAAAAAACCUUUCACAAGCUAUUAGGAAACUCAAUGCAUGGGUGAAAUGGAUGGACGUGUGUGUGUGUCUGGAUCUCUGAGAUGUUUUCAUGUGAACUUUGAGAUUGAAUUCAGCUGUUGUAGUAUAAUAGGGCACUGUCAAAUUGUAUUUUCUUUACCCCAUUUAUGUCUAAACCCCAAAAGGACGAAUAUGAAGUAAUUAGGUCACCUGUGAAAUUAAAAGAGGUCUUCAGAAACCACUAUUUCUUUCACAUGUCAUCUUUGCAAACACACACCUUCACAUACUUCAAGAAAAUAGGAAAAAAAAAAAAACAUGACUGCAAUAUUAAAAUUUUACGUCGUUUUCAAGUGCUCACAGUUAGUGAUAUUUGGUCGUGUCCAACCAAAGAAACCACCUUCAUGAAGAUGACAACCUGCAAUAUGUUGAUCACCUCAGUCAUAUUUCCUCAAUGAUUUUCCACAUUUUCUCUACUGUGAAAAUUGCCAUUUUUAAUGCAUCAUAUCACAGACUUAGACUUUUUUUUUCUUGAUUUUUGAUUUGGAAUGUUGGAGCACAUCCUAUUUUAAGGCAUCAUUAUAUCUCCUUCCAAUAUUUAAUUUCACAGCUAAUCCACUGAAAUGUGGAUAGCGAUUUGCAUUUAAAUACAGAUUGCAUAACUUGUGCAUGUGUGCGCAACAGUAACAAUAUCACUAGCCACACUGACCUCACUGAAUGGUUCCACGUCAAAAUGUGCUCCGUUUCAACAGGUUUGGACAUCUCUGAAACUGUCCAUUUCUGGACAUGUGAUACAAUAAUCAUGUGGCACAUUAGAUAUGACAGCAUAGAAAUUUUGACAUUUCACCAGUCGAUGCAGUGUGGCGAAACAACGAAUUUCUAAUGUAAAAUAAACCUCAACAAGGACAGAGAAGUAUUAUGGAAACAUUUUAGAAACAUCAACAAAAUCACAUGAUGAACGAUUUUAGCUAUAAUGACCAAAGCAAAGAGUAAUCCC